UGUGAUGUGUGAAAAGACCUGGGCACUGCUGGCUCUGGAACUUGGUCUCGCUGGUACAGAUUGUUGCCAACCUUGGAAACUGAAAUAGGCCAUUUUGCACAUGGCACAUCAUCCCUCUGUAGGAGGAAUGGGGUUUAUAAAUGUUAGUUGGCUACUAUUCCCUCCUCCAGAUAGACUGAUACUCCCAGAAGCAUAAAAGCAUCCACUGCUACAGCUGAACAGUUUUUUCAGAAGCUGAGAAAUAAACAUGAAUUUACUAUUUUGGUGACCCUAAAACAGACCCACUUAAAUUCAGGAGUUAUUAUCUCAAUUCACCACUUGGAUCACAGGUACCUGGAACUGGAAAGUAGUGGCCAUCGGAAUGAAGUCAGACUGCAUUACCGCUCAGGCAGUCACCGCCCUCACACAGAAGUGUUUCCUUACAUUUUGGCUGAUGACAAGUGGCACAAGCUCUCCUUAGCCAUCAGUGCUUCCCAUUUGAUUUUACACAUUGACUGCAAUAAAAUUUAUGAAAGGGUAGUAGAAAAGCCCUCCACAGACUUGCCUCUAGGCACAACAUUUUGGCUAGGACAGAG
RNAcentral lists this small RNA (575 nucleotides) under Pan troglodytes (chimpanzee). RNAcentral describes it as "processed transcript". Lineage: Eukaryota; Metazoa; Chordata; Mammalia; Primates; Hominidae. The record is from RNAcentral.